This 26-nucleotide non-coding RNA is filed under the name Mus musculus (house mouse). The record is from RNAcentral. RNAcentral also lists the same sequence under 1 other name. Lineage: Eukaryota; Metazoa; Chordata; Mammalia; Rodentia; Muridae.
UGGCUAGAUGAGGAAAAUUACUCAUG